UGGGGAAUUUUGGACAAUGGGCGCAAGCCUGAUCCAGCCAUGCCGCGUGCAGGAUGAAGGCCUUCGGGUUGUAAACUGCUUUUGUACGGAACGAAAAGGUGCCUUCUCAUAAAGGGCGCUCAUGACGGUACCGUAAGAAUAAGCACCGGCUAACUACGUGCCAGCAGCCGCGGUAAUACGUAGGGUGCGCGCGUUAAUCGGAAUUACUGGGCGUAAAGCGUGCGCAGGCGGUUUUGUAAGACAGAGGUGAAAUCCCCGGGCUCAAC
RNAcentral lists this ribosomal RNA (266 nucleotides) under uncultured bacterium. RNAcentral's name for it is "partial 16S ribosomal RNA". It matches the Rfam family "Bacterial small subunit ribosomal RNA", at positions 355 to 613 of the family's 1533-position model. The record is from RNAcentral.